This 253-nucleotide ribosomal RNA is filed under the name uncultured bacterium. RNAcentral describes it as "partial 16S ribosomal RNA". It matches the Rfam family "Bacterial small subunit ribosomal RNA", at positions 524 to 776 of the family's 1533-position model. The record is from RNAcentral.
UACGUAGGGUGCAAGCGUUGUCCGGAAUUAUUGGGCGUAAAGAGCUUGUAGGCGGUUUGUCGCGUCUGCUGUGAAAUUUCGGGGCUCAACCCCGAACUUGCAGUGGGUACGGGCAGACUAGAGUGUGGUAGGGGAGACUGGAAUUCCUGGUGUAGCGGUGAAAUGCGCAGAUAUCAGGAGGAACACCGGUGGCGAAGGCGGAUCUCUGGGCCUGUCCUGACGCUCAGGCGCGAAAGCUAGGGGAGCAAACAGG